Molecule: ribosomal RNA, 404 nt
Filed under: Rhodobacteraceae bacterium S101
Lineage: Bacteria; Pseudomonadati; Pseudomonadota; Alphaproteobacteria; Rhodobacterales; Paracoccaceae
Description: bacterial SSU rRNA
Rfam family: Bacterial small subunit ribosomal RNA
Source: RNAcentral
AACGAACGCUGGCGGCAGGCCUAACACAUGCAAGUCGAGCGCUCUCUUCGGAGGGAGCGGCGGACGGGUGAGUAACGCGUGGGAAUAUACCCUUCUCUACGGAAUAGCCUCGGGAAACUGAGAGUAAUACCGUAUACGCCCUUCGGGGGAAAGAUUUAUCGGAGAUGGAUUAGCCCGCGUUAGAUUAGAUAGUUGGUGGGGUAACGGCCUACCAAGUCUACGAUCUAUAGCUGGUUUUAGAGGACGAUCAGCCACACUGGGACUGAGACACGGCCCAGACUCCUACGGGAGGCAGCAGUGGGGAAUCUUAGACAAUGGGCGAAAGCCUGAUCUAGCCAUGCCGCGUGAGUGAUGAAGGUCUUAGGAUCGUAAAGCUCUUUCGCCAGGGAUGAUAAUGACAGUAC